GCUCCUUUGACGUUAGCGGCGGACGGGUGAGUAACACGUGGGUAACCUACCUAUAAGACUGGAAUAACUCCGGGAAACCGGGGCUAAUGCCGGAUAACAUUUAGAACCGCAUGGUUCUAAAGUGAAAGAUGGUUUUGCUAUCACUUAUAGAUGGACCCGCGCCGUAUUAGCUAGUUGGUAAGGUAAUGGCUUACCAAGGCAACGAUACGUAGCCGACCUGAGAGGGUGAUCGGCCACACUGGAACUGAGACACGGUCCAGACUCCUACGGGAGGCAGCAGUAGGGAAUCUUCCGCAAUGGGCGAAAGCCUGACGGAGCAACGCCGCGUGAGUGAUGAAGGGUUUCGGCUCGUAAAACUCUGUUAUUAGGGAAGAACAAACGUGUAAGUAACUGUGCACGUCUUGACGGUACCUAAUCAGAAAGCCACGGCUAACUACGUGCCAGCAGCCGCGGUAAUACGUAGGUGGCAAGCGUUAUCCGGAAUUAUUGGGCGUAAAGCGCGCGUAGGCGGUUUCUUAAGUCUGAUGUGAAAGCCCACGGCUCAACCGUGGAGGGUCAUUGGAAACUGGGAGACUUGAGUGCAGAAGAGGAAAGUGGAAUUCCAUGUGUAGCGGUGAAAUGCGCAGAGA
This 629-nucleotide ribosomal RNA is filed under the name Staphylococcus sp. M36. RNAcentral describes it as "bacterial SSU rRNA". It matches the Rfam family "Bacterial small subunit ribosomal RNA", at positions 80 to 696 of the family's 1533-position model. The record is from RNAcentral. Lineage: Bacteria; Bacillati; Bacillota; Bacilli; Caryophanales; Staphylococcaceae.